Long non-coding RNA from Arabidopsis lyrata subsp. lyrata, 2291 nucleotides. RefSeq lists it as uncharacterized. The record is from RefSeq and is a predicted model, not a curated record. NCBI's taxonomy places the organism in Eukaryota, Viridiplantae, Streptophyta, Magnoliopsida, Brassicales, Brassicaceae. The transcript is spliced from 7 exons.
AGAGUUAAAAAAUUUUAGAGGAAGAAAUAGAGUAAUACAUUAGAGUAAAAAUAGAGAAAAUUCACCUCUAUUAUAGAGAUAGAGGUAAAAAUAAAGAAAUACAACAUUGGAGAUGGUCUUAAUAUACUUCUCUAGAAUCCGAAAUUAUAGCUUCGCUAGUAGUGUCUUAAACCCACCUUGGUUGGGUUAAAAAAAAAGUUUAGAUUUAGAACAAAAGAGCUAUGGAUUUGGCAUAACAACAGAUUUUGAGCUCUGUUUCUCAAUUUUUCUUUUCUUCUAACAAUUUUUUUUUUUUUCCGUCUAUCCAACACAAUUUGUUGUUUAGUUGGAUUUCAUGUCUAUGCAGGAUUUAGUGUCUCCACAGGAGAUAGGGUUCAGAAACAUGGCUAACCGUUCUUAUGCAUCUUUACAAAUUGGUAUAGGGCAUGGAGAAGGCACUUCCACUCAAGGAUCAAUAGAGGCAGAGAUGUUUGAGAGCGAAAUCCCACUUCAGCAAAAUACCUACAGACUUGCAUCCAUUCUUGCCAGAAAUUGUUCUACUGAAGCCGGAUAAGGGGCUUCUCCAUUAUUUUGAUACCAUAGAAGCAAAGGUUACAGUUUGGAGUAAUAAAAUCGAGACUAGGCAAAGCGGAGUUUGGAAGGAAACAAUAAAAAGUACAUAUAGCCAAGGAAGUCAUGGUGAAUUAAUUGGUGGUUUAGGACGUGUCUAAAAUUGCCGUUAACUACUCGUUCGGUCCGAAAAUCUUUCCAGGUGAGUUCUAACUCCCUUAUUAGUUAUUAUACAUUUGUAUAAUAUUUAGGGAUAUGAUAGAAAGAAGAUAUGAAUUAUUUGUAUGUUUGAAUUAUGAAAAUUAAUUAUUUGUUUUAGUAUUAUUAUGCUGAAUAUGAUGUGGUGAUGAAAUAUGUUAUUCUGUUAACACCGGUAUCAGCAUGAUAUUCUGAUUUAGCUAGCUCUAUUGAGCAAUCUGUGGCGGCCGGCAUCGCCAACAGUUGUAUUCCGUAUUCUGUUAGUCUGUUAGUGAUAUUGAGAUCGGUUAAUGUCGUGGACUGUACUUCCUUAUCACCUCGUUAGAAGCCAACAUCCCUAUCGAGUAUAUUAUGUAAAUAUUCUGUUAGUAUAUGGUUUGGGUCGACCAAUGAUGGGGUUGUACCCUUUCGAUGAUGCAUUGCUAGAUAUAUGGUCGUUCUGCUCUGAUGUUAUUAUUCUGUCUGAUGAUAUUAUUCUGUUCUAAUGAUUUGAUUAAGUAUUUCUGAUAGUAUAUGUUCUGUUGUGAUUUAUUUUAUUUAUAAUUAAUUGAAUUGGAAUUUUUGUUUGUUAGUACCAACACGAGAAUAUUAUUCUGUGCGGGAUCAGACCGUGUUGGUACUUGUUCGUCGGGCUUUUAGUCUCACUAGGCGAUUUUUUCGCUAACAUAAGUUCUGAUUUCGUGCAGAGGGCAUUGAGGAGGAGCAGCGUGCAGCUGAGGUUUAGAGUUUAUUUUUAGUCAUAGAGCGAGACUUGGUAGAUUCUCCGAAGUUUAAUUUAGCUUGUUUUUGAGAUUUGGGGUUUUACGAGAUUUUAAACUUUAUACAUUAUGGAAAUUUCAGUAUUUUUAUUAUAUUAGUUUUAGUAAUGCUUCAAAAAUUCUUUUUGAAUUUUUGGGGCGUUAAAAAACUUCUCUACAGAGUUUAUCUUAAUUUUGUCGUUCUUUUACUUUGUUUUCUCAAUGAACUUUUCUAUUGAUUUCAGAUUAGGCAAAGCGGAGUUUGGAAGAAACAAUAAAAGUACAUAGCCAAGGAAGUCAUGUUUCUGCUUGACUUUUGUAAUGAUGGCCGAGCAUUGGAAAAGUUCAUAAAUAGCGGAGGGGAUCACUAUUGUUAUGGGUUUCCAACCUAUAAAGGUCUACUGUUUGCAAUGGUACAUGGUAUACCAACAACCGGAAAUUGGACAAAUACUGGGUGUGGAACUGCAGUCAGAUCGUGAUGUCAGAGCAGUCAUAUCCAAGCACGUCUUAAAUGACGUUAGAGCUUUUACUGAUGUUCAGAAGGCUAUUCGUUACUUGGAAAAGCAACCAAUCCUCGAAAGUCUUGCUGUAUACACUCCCGAAUUUAGUAAUACUAGGUGAAUACCACGCUACGCGUGGGCUGUUGUUUUGAAAAUUGUUAAAAAUAAAUUAUACUGACCGAAUUUUGUUGCUAAUUUAUGUAGUAACAAUUUUGAUGGUUGGAUUCAUUUUUGACUCGAAAUAUCAAUUAUACAUUUUUCAUAUAUAAAUAUAAUUAUCUAUAUACCUAAGAUUAUAAUUUUUUCA